AGAGUUUGAUCCUGGCUCAGGAUGAACGCUGGCGGCGUGCCUAACACAUGCAAGUCGAGCGAUUCUCUUCGGAGAAGAGCGGCGGACGGGUGAGUAACGCGUGGGUAACCUGCCUUGUACACACGGAUAACAUACCGAAAGGUAUGCUAAUACGAGAUAAUAUGCUUUUAUCGCAUGGUAGAAGUAUCAAAGCUUUUGCGGUACAGGAUGGACCCGCGUCUGAUUAGCUAGUUGGUAAGGUAACGGCUUACCAAGGCGACGAUCAGUAGCCGACCUGAGAGGGUGAUCGGCCACAUUGGAACUGAGACACGGUCCAAACUCCUACGGGAGGCAGCAGUGGGGAAUAUUGCACAAUGGGCGAAAGCCUGAUGCAGCAACGCCGCGUGAGCGAUGAAGGCCUUCGGGUCGUAAAGCUCUGUCCUCAAGGAAGAUAAUGACGGUACUUGAGGAGGAAGCCCCGGCUAACUACGUGCCAGCAGCCGCGGUAAUACGUAGGGGGCUAGCGUUAUCCGGAAUUACUGGGCGUAAAGGGUGCGUAGGUGGUUUCUUAAGUCAGAGGUGAAAGGCUACGGCUCAACCGUAGUAAGCCUUUGAAACUGGGAAACUUGAGUGCAGGAGAGGAGAGUGGAAUUCCUAGUGUAGCGGUGAAAUGCGUAGAUAUUAGGAGGAACACCAGUUGCGAAGGCGGCUCUCUGGACUGUAACUGACACUGAGGCACGAAAGCGUGGGGAGCAAACAGGAUUAGAUACCCUGGUAGUCCACGCCGUAAACGAUGAGUACUAGCUGUCGGAGGUUACCACCUUCGGUGGCGCAGCUAACGCAUUAAGUACUCCGCCUGGGAAGUACGCUCGCAAGAGUGAAACUCAAAGGAAUUGACGGGGACCCGCACAAGCGGUGGAUGAUGUGGUUUAAUUCGAUGCAACGCGAAAAACCUUACCUACCCUUGACAUGUCAGGAACUUUGCAGAGAUGCGAAGGUGCUCGAAAGAGAGCCUGAACACAGGUGCUGCAUGGCCGUCGUCAGCUCGUGUCGUGAGAUGUUGGGUUAAGUCCCGCAACGAGCGCAACCCUUGUCAUUAGUUGCCACGAAAGGGCACUCUAGUGAGACUGCCGGUGACAAACCGGAGGAAGGUGGGGAUGACGUCAGGUCCUCAUGGCCCUUAUGGGUAGGGCUACACACGUCAUACAAUGGCCGGUACAGAGGGUUGCCAACCCGCGAGGGGGAGCCAAUCCCACAAAGCCGGUCGUAGUCCGGAUCGUAGUCUGCAACUCGACUACGUGAAGUCGGAAUCGCCAGUAAUCGCGGAUCAGCUUGCCGCGGUGAAUACGUUCCCGGGUCCUGUACACACCGCCCGUCACACCAUGGGAGCGGGUUCUGCCAGAAGUAGUUAGCCUAACCGCAAGGAGGGCGAUUACCACGGCAGGGUUCGUGACUGGGGUGAAGUCGUAACAAGGUAACCGUA
Molecule: ribosomal RNA, 1462 nt
Filed under: uncultured bacterium
Lineage: Bacteria
Description: partial 16S ribosomal RNA
Rfam family: Bacterial small subunit ribosomal RNA
Source: RNAcentral